Molecule: long non-coding RNA, 526 nt
Organism: Stegostoma tigrinum
Lineage: Eukaryota; Metazoa; Chordata; Chondrichthyes; Orectolobiformes; Stegostomatidae
Exons: 2
Source: RefSeq, a predicted model, not a curated record
UCCGCUAACCGAUUUGCUCAGGGCGAUGUCACUCAGUCCAGGCUGAGUAAGGCUCCUCGCAAUUGGCUACCUGUCGAAGCUCCAAGAUGGCAUGGCUUCUGAGCUGCUGUGCCCUAAGAGGACUGGAGAACACGUUAAUGUAUAUUUUGAUUUAUGUUGGCCCAUGAUGAUGCUUGUCGGAGUACCGCAAUUGUCUGCUGUCACUUUCUACAGUUUUGCUGAUCAGGAGCUAACUCUUUGCUGUCAGGCAUAUUGAAAAAUAUUCACAAGUUUGUACUCAACAGAUAUGACUACACUGAAACUGAGGGCAAUUUCUGGAGUCGUUGUGUGCAGAAUUUCACAGAAAUCUGUAAAUUAUUGUUGUAAUUCUUAAUUUCCCCAUCGGGUGUGCUGCUGGGUUACCACUUCUGCUGAAAUUACUGCUAUCAGUUUGAAAUGUUAUGAACUAAUGAGGACACAAACUCAUAUACUUUCAGUCUCAUUGUAAACUAAACCCUAUUAAAGAUAUCAGCCUUUGUUUCAUUGA